CUACGUAGGGGGCGAGCGUUGUCCGGAAUGACUGGGCGUAAAGGGCGUGUAGGCGGCGGUGUAAGUCUGGAGUGAAAGUCCCGCAUUCAAUGUGGGAAUUGCUUUGGAUACUGCAGUGCUAGAGUGCGGAAGAGGUAAGUGGAAUUCCCAGUGUAGCGGUGAAAUGCGUAGAGAUCGGGAGGAACACCAGUGGCGAAGGCGGGUAACUGGACUGCAACUGACGCUGAGGCGCGAAAGUGUGGGGAGCAAACAGGAUUAGAUACCCUGGUAGUCCACACUGUAAACGAUGAAUGCUAGGUGUAGGAGGUAUCGACCCCUUCUGUGCCGCAGUAAACACAGUAAGCAUUCCGCCUGGGGAGUACGGCCGCAAGGUUGAAACUCAAAGGAAUUGACGGGG
RNAcentral lists this ribosomal RNA (397 nucleotides) under uncultured bacterium. RNAcentral describes it as "partial 16S ribosomal RNA". It matches the Rfam family "Bacterial small subunit ribosomal RNA", at positions 523 to 918 of the family's 1533-position model. The record is from RNAcentral.